GAGGGUACAGCUCAGUGGCAGAGUGCGUACUUCACAUGCAUGAGGUCCUGGGUUCAACUGCCAGUACCUCCA
Molecule: transfer RNA, 72 nt
Filed under: Camelus bactrianus (Bactrian camel)
Lineage: Eukaryota; Metazoa; Chordata; Mammalia; Artiodactyla; Camelidae
Also listed under: 2 other names
Rfam family: tRNA
About the family: Transfer RNA (tRNA) molecules are approximately 80 nucleotides in length. Their secondary structure includes four short double-helical elements and three loops (D, anti-codon, and T loops).
Source: Rfam by way of RNAcentral